This 248-nucleotide unclassified non-coding RNA is filed under the name Hevea brasiliensis (rubber tree). The record is from RNAcentral. Lineage: Eukaryota; Viridiplantae; Streptophyta; Magnoliopsida; Malpighiales; Euphorbiaceae.
GUCAGGGUGUGGAGUUGGCAUGCUUUUAGAAGGUAGUGAGAAUCUGGACAGCAACUUUUCAUCAAAAGGUAAAUUUGGGAUUGACAUUUUUUCCUGGAAAUCAGCAAAACUAGAACUGGAACUCUCCAAACAAUCAGAACUUCUCCCUUGUGGUACAGUUGGAGGACACGGACUAAAUGGAAGCCAACCAUCUGACAAACUACUUUUAAGGUGCUUUUGCAAGACUUCAGCUGAUGCAUUAAUCUCCU